Molecule: long non-coding RNA, 841 nt
Filed under: Vulpes vulpes (red fox)
Lineage: Eukaryota; Metazoa; Chordata; Mammalia; Carnivora; Canidae
Description: lncRNA (ENSVVUG00000024641.1)
Source: RNAcentral
GAGGGGCCGGCCGCCGCGCAGACCCGCCUCCCGCGGCGCCCCCGCCCCAACGUCAGGGCCCGGCGUUCGGGGGAAACGGGCAGGAGAGGGGCGCACCCGGCCGGGCGCGGGGCCGUGGCGCCGCGCCCACCCCUCCGCUGCGCGACCCUCGCCCCGUGACCCUGCCUUUGACUGCCGGGCGGGGGGGGCGCUGCGAUCCCGGUCCAGGAGGCACACGUGUCUGCGGGCCGGUUCUCGGCGACGCGGACACCCCCUGGGACCCAAGUUUGCAGCCACCAGGAGCCUCUGCGUGCCAAGUCCCAGCACAGUGAGGAGAGAAGUGAAUGAAAGUUCCCAAAAGAGGAAAAGAUAACGAGAUGUGAAACACCCAGGAUGGAGCUGCUGGGCCAAGCGUGUGAUGAAGAGGAGUUUCACAAGGUUUGUGUUCCUCCCAGGAGACCUGUUUCCAUGGUUCUUAGCCAGGAGGUCCUGUCCCUCUUGUUUCACCCUGAACAUCAAUGCGUUAAGAGCAGACUUGUCUUUCCAAGAGAAGAGCAAAUAAUCUUGCUGAGGAAGAGCAUUCAUAUCCCUCUGAGGACAGGCAUGCAUGCUGAUCUGUACUCCUGCUUUGGGGUCCUCAAACUUAGUUCUGGAAAGAGUUUAGGACAUGGAUUUGGAUCAGCCUGUUUUGGAUGGGAGGGCAAUUUGGCAAAAUGUAGAAAUUUUAAGUAAAUCACAUUCAAUCCACAAUUCUACUUCUAGGAAUUUAUCAUCAGAAAAUAAUGUGCAGAAAUAGCUAUAUAUGAAUAUUCAAAGAUGUUCAGCAUGAUGUUAUGUAUAGUAUAAAAAAAUCGAGGCAACU